AGGCUUCCCAACGGAAGCCAAGAGCAAGGAUUACAGAGUCCCAAGAGGAAACAAUUUCCAACCUCAAGGUCUGGGAAGUUCAAGGUUGAGGGGUCACAUCUGGUUGGCUUCUGGUGAGAGCCUUCAUGGCGUGUCAUAGCGUGGCAGAAAACUGGAAGGGCAGGAAGAAGAAAUGCCAGAGGUAGAAAUUGACAUUGAUGAUCUUCUUGAUGCAGACAGUGAUGAAGAGAGAGCUUCAAAGUUACAGGAAGCUCUUGUAGACUGCUACAAACCAACAGAGGUAAACAAAUUACUCUUCCUAAA
Molecule: long non-coding RNA, 303 nt
Organism: Cebus imitator (Panamanian white-faced capuchin)
Lineage: Eukaryota; Metazoa; Chordata; Mammalia; Primates; Cebidae
Exons: 3
Source: RefSeq, a predicted model, not a curated record